This 327-nucleotide ribosomal RNA is filed under the name uncultured eukaryote. RNAcentral describes it as "partial 18S ribosomal RNA". It matches the Rfam family "Eukaryotic small subunit ribosomal RNA", at positions 1470 to 1796 of the family's 1831-position model. The record is from RNAcentral.
CCCUUAGAUGUUCUGGGCCGCACACGCGCUACACUGAAGGAGGCAGCGUGUACUCCUGGAUCGAAAGAUUUGGGUAACCCGCGAAUCUCCUUCGUGCUAGGGAUUGAGGUUUGCAAUUAUCCUUCAUGAACGAGGAAUUCCCAGUAAGUGCAAGUUAUAAGCUUGCGCUGACUACGUCCCUGCCCUUUGUACACACCGCCCGUCGCUACUACCGAUUGAAUGAUUUAGUGAGGACUUCGGACUGGGACCGAUGCGGCUUUCGGGCUGCGUCGGUAUUCUGGAAAGAUGUCCAAACUGUAUCAUUUAGAGGAAGUAAAAGUCGUAACA